Molecule: non-coding RNA, 1519 nt
Organism: Lingula anatina
Lineage: Eukaryota; Metazoa; Brachiopoda; Lingulata; Lingulida; Lingulidae
Source: Rfam
UUUUUUGAGAGUUUAAUCCUGGCUCAGGAUUAACGCUGGCGGCAUGCCUAAUACAUGCAAGUCGAACGAAACAGUUUACUGUUUAGUGGCGAACGGGUGAGUAAUACAUAUUUAAUCUACCCUUAAGUUGGGGAUAAUUACUGGAAACGGUGACUAAUACCGAAUAUGUUAUUAGAACAUAAGUUUUAAUAAUGAAAGGAACGUUUGUUUCGCUUUUGGAUGAGAAUGUGUUGUAUUAGAUAGUUGGUAGGAUAAAAGCCUACCAAGUCAUUGAUACAUAGUCGGACUGAGAGGUUGAUCGACCACACUGGGAUUGAGAUACGGCCCAGACUCCUACGGGAGGCAGCAGUAAGGAAUUUUUCACAAUGGGGGAAACCCUGAUGAAGCAAUGCCGCGUGAUUGAAGAAGGUUUUAGGAUUGUAAAGAUCUGUGGUAAAGGAAAAAAGUUUAAGUAGAGAAAAAUACUUAAAUUUGAUGUUACUUUACUAGAAAGUCAUGACUAACUACGUGCCAGCAGUCGCGGUAAUACGUAGGUGGCAAGCGUUAUCCGGAUUCAUUGGGUGUAUAGUAUGCGUAGACGGAAUUAUAAGUCAAAAAUUUAAUAAUAAGGCUCAACCUUAUACCAUUUUUGAUACUAUUUUUCUUGAGGAUAGAAGAUGUUGAUAGAAUUUCAUGUGUAGCGGUGAAAUGCGUGGAGAUAUGAAAGAAUACCAAAGGCGAAGGCAAUUAACAUGUCUAUUCCUGACGUUGAGGCAUGAGAGCAUGGGUAGCAAAUAGGAUUAGAUACCCUAGUAGUCCAUAGCUGUAAACGAUGAGUGCUAGAUGUUUCAUUAGAAGUAUCGAAGUUAACACGUUAAGCACUCCACCUGGGGAGUACGUACGCAAGUAUAAAACUCAAAGGAAUUGACGGGAACCCGCACAAGCAGUGGAACAUGUGGUUUAAUUCGAAGAAACGCGAAGAACCUUACCAAGACUUGAAAUUUUUCGCAAUGUUAUAGAAAUAUAACGGAGGUUAACGAUCAACAGAUGGUGCAUGGCUGUCGUCAGUUCGUGUUGUGAAAUGUAAGGUUAAGUCCUCUAACGAACGCAACCCUUGUCGUUAGUUGCUAACAUUAAGUUGAGUACUUUAACGAGACUGCCGGUGUAAACCGGAGGAAGGUGAGGAUGACGUCAAGUCCUUAUGCCUCUUACGUCUUGGGCUACACACGUGUUACAAUGGCUGAUACAAAGAGUCGCAAAUGUGCAAAUAUGAGCAAAUCUUCAAAGUCAGUCUCAGUUCGGAUCGAAGUCUGCAACUCGACUUCGUGAAGUCGGAAUUGCUAGUAAUCGCAAAUCAGCAACGUUGCGGUGAAUACGUUCUCGGGUUUUGUACACACCGCCCGUCAAACCACGAAAGUUGGUAGUACUGGAAGGUGAUAUCCUAACCGAAAGGGAGGAAUCAACCAAGGUAAGAUCGAUGAUUGGGGUUAAGUCGUAACAUGGUAUCCUUACGGGAAUGUGAGGAUGGACAACUCCUUUC